This is a non-coding RNA of Tursiops truncatus (common bottlenose dolphin), 132 nucleotides long. The record is from Rfam. NCBI's taxonomy places the organism in Eukaryota, Metazoa, Chordata, Mammalia, Artiodactyla, Delphinidae.
UUUCCACUACGUAAACGGUAGCCAGGAGUUCUCGCUGCGGACCAGAAGCGUGUGCCAGCUCAAGACCUACACGCUAAGUGCAUUUCCCUCCUCUUGGGGUCGCUUGUCUUGGAGGCGCAGGAAACCGUGAGG